CAGUCAUGCUAGUGAGGAAUCAGCCUUUCGGGUGCGAUUCUGUGGGGUGUGAAGAGUUAAACGCCUUCACGUUUUGCAUAUUUGUGCUCUUGGGUGUAUUUGCCCGUGUGGUUGGUUAACAUCAAUUUUGGACGCCAUAAAAUGACUGGAGGAAUGUAGCUUCGAUCUCGUAUUGAAGUG
This 180-nucleotide ribosomal RNA is filed under the name Rhizophagus irregularis. The record is from RNAcentral. Lineage: Eukaryota; Fungi; Glomeromycota; Glomeromycetes; Glomerales; Glomeraceae.